This 1082-nucleotide unclassified non-coding RNA is filed under the name Hevea brasiliensis (rubber tree). The record is from RNAcentral. Lineage: Eukaryota; Viridiplantae; Streptophyta; Magnoliopsida; Malpighiales; Euphorbiaceae.
AUUAAAUCACGAGUUCUUGCACAAUCCUUUUUAUUUUUUCUUUAAAAGAGAAAGUAAGUAAAAUAAUAGAAUUACACAAUCCUUAGAAUUAUUGGGCUAAAUAAGAUUAUUGAAGGGCCUAUAUAUAUAUAUAUAAUGAGAGCUCCAACUAGAGAUGGGCUCAACCAAACAGGCAGGGUAGGAUUCAACAAGCCCAAGCACUGCUUGGCAUUGACUAGGUUCUAGAAUGAUAGUCUAGGUUCUAGAAUGAUACUAUCUACCCAAUCUCCUCUUUUCAUACUUUUGUUUUGCAUUCUUAUCCUUUAUGAAAAUUUCCAGACCACCAUCAUCGAUUUCAUUGGCACUUUGGCAGUACCUUGGCCUUUUUCACACAACUUGAGUACAGUCAACAACCACAUGAGACCAACAUCGUCAACAGUAAUCUUGGCAUCUGAGCCAGACAUUGUUUGAGAUAAAUGGUGAUAUUAUUCUUAGAUCAAGCCAUAGUGGAGACUGACAAUCAUUCCACCUUUUCAAUGCUGUUAGACCCAACAAAAUCUAUUAACACCCCUUGGUUUUCUCUCACCUCAAGGAAUGGGUUCCCUAAUAUUGAGAUCUAGAUUACAUACCAUUGUGAUUUGGAUCAUAAAAAUACCAGUCUCAGAUGCAAAUUGUUGAAGUCCCACAUUGGAAAAUAACAAGAAAUUGAGAGUGAAUAUAUAACAAGGGGGAGCGAAACCAACUUGGCUUAAGCCAUUUUAGUAGAGGCAACUCUAAGCUCAAAUAACUAAACUAUGACGACAAUCUUCAGCACUCUCCGGGUCAGAGCAAAUUUCACAUGAUAUCAGAGUAGGCCACAAUUCGGAACAUGAAAAAGCAUGGUGGGUUGUGUGCAGUGAGCCAAACUUAAGUGCAUCCAUGGGCUAGUAACAAAUAGAACUAGACCUGCAGAGCCAAGCCACAAAAGAGAAGGCCAAACUCUAGAUGGGCCACUGCAUGCAGUUCAGGUGAUAACUGGAUCUAAAACUGAAGUUCGGUCUAGUUACACUUGAGGGAGAAGUGUUGGAAUCUUACAUCGAAAAAUAACAAGAAAUUGAAAGUGA